CAGCAAGCCUCCAGCUCGCGGUCUCUCACCGAGGACCAAGAGACGUUGGUGUGCAGGAAAUUCUGUGCGUGUGUUUGUCAUUCCCGUGUGGAAUUUGUUUCAAAGACGUUGUCAUCUGUGUAGAAGCUAGUUUCGAUAUCUGGUGUCUACCCCUUGCCCUGGGUGCGGAGAUCGAGGAGGGUGAAGGGAGGAGCAACCCUGAGCAUCUGCCAUCCUGCUCCAUCUGAUCUAGAUUCCAGGAUGGAGCGAAUCAGGCAGAUGCUCAGGAGGAAGGCCAGGCAGGUGGCUCCACAGCCUGAAGAAGACAUCAGCCAGCCUGCCCAGGCGGAGAGCGGCCCCUCUGUCCCCGCGGGCGGGGAAGAGGCUCGUGGCCAGGGGAAAGAGAGGAGCUGCUUCGCCU
This is a long non-coding RNA of Mauremys mutica (yellowpond turtle), 400 nucleotides long. RefSeq lists it as uncharacterized. The record is from RefSeq and is a predicted model, not a curated record. The transcript has 3 exons. Lineage: Eukaryota; Metazoa; Chordata; Testudines; Geoemydidae.